Procambarus clarkii (red swamp crayfish) is the source of this 478-nucleotide long non-coding RNA. RefSeq lists it as uncharacterized. Lineage: Eukaryota; Metazoa; Arthropoda; Malacostraca; Decapoda; Cambaridae. The record is from RefSeq and is a predicted model, not a curated record.
UUCAACUUCAAAAUCAAAUAUAUUCCAACCCUUCAUAUAUCGUGAAUACCAUUUGGCAAAAUAUUUGUAUUAUAGAUUGGAAAUAAUACAAAUUUGUUAUUUUGAAUGAUGUAUUGGAAACAUAAACUGCGGGACAGCGUUUAAUUGGUUAUUGCAUGAGCUUGUGACGUCAGAAGAGAUGUGGUGCCUGGAGACGGUUGACCUGGUCAGUGGUCGGCGGGAAGGCGCCGGAGAAGGACGUGGUCGUCACCUCUACGCUGGAGAAUACUUUAACUUCAUUGGAGUUAAGCUUGGCGACGUUCUACAUUAUUCCGGUUGUGGAAGGUCCCUACAACAGUCUGGUCAGAAGGAACUUCAGUUUUACUGAAAGAUUAUGAAUAUUGCUUGGACAGUGAAACUCCUUCCUUCAGUUGGGAGGUGUUAAUGGCUUCAAUUACAGAAUGAGGUGGCAAUGAAGGUUACAAAGAACACGGCAGUG